UUACGGGAGGCAGCAGUAGGGAAUCUUCCACAAUGGACGAAAGUCUGAUGGAGCAAUGCCGCGUGAGUGAAGAAGGUUUUCGGAUCGUAAAGCUCUGUUGUAAGGGAAGAACAAGUACAGGAGUAACUGCCUGUACCUUGACGGUACCUUACCAGAAAGCCACGGCUAACUACGUGCCAGCAGCCGCGGUAAUACGUAGGUGGCAAGCGUUGUCCGGAAUUAUUGGGCGUAAAGCGCGCGCAGGCGGUCCUUUAAGUCUGAUGUGAAAGCCCACGGCUCAACCGUGGAGGGUCAUUGGAAACUGGAGGACUUGAGUACAGAAGAGGAAAGCGGAAUUCCACGUGUAGCGGUGAAAUGCGUAGAGAUGUGGAGGAACACCAGUGGCGAAGGCGGCUUUCUGGUCUGUAACUGACGCUGAGGCGCGAAAGCGUGGGGAGCAAACAGGAUUAGAUACCCCGGUAGA
RNAcentral lists this ribosomal RNA (463 nucleotides) under uncultured bacterium. RNAcentral's name for it is "bacterial SSU rRNA". It matches the Rfam family "Bacterial small subunit ribosomal RNA", at positions 339 to 794 of the family's 1533-position model. The record is from RNAcentral.